GAGGGUGAAGGGGUUGCAAUAAACUGGUGGCUGCGACUGUUUAAUAAAAACACAGCACUCUGCAAACACGAAAGUGGACGUAUAGGGUGUGACGCCUGCCCGGUGCCGGAAGAUUAAAUGAUGGGGUGCAAGCUCUUGAUUGAAGUCCCGGUAAACGGCGGCCGUAACUAUAACGGUCCUAAGGUAGCGAAAUUCCUUGUCGGGUAAGUUCCGACCUGCACGAAUGGCGUAACGAUGGCCACACUGUCUCCUCCCGAGACUCAGCGAAGUUGAAGUGUUUGUGAUGAUGCAAUCUACCCGCGGCUAGACGGAAAGACCCCAUGAACCUUUACUGUAGCUUUGCAUUGGACUUUGAACCGAUCUGUGUAGGAUAGGUGGGAGGCUAUGAAACCGGAACGCUAGUUUCGGUGGAGCCGUCCUUGAAAUACCACCCUGGUUUGUUUGAGGUUCUAACCUUGGCCCGUGAUCCGGGUCGGGGACAGUGCAUGGUAGGCAGUUUGACUGGGGCGGUCUCCUCCCAAAGCGUAACGGAGGAGUACGAAGGUACGCUAGGUACGGUCGGAAAUCGUGCUGAUAGUGCAAUGGCAUAAGCGUGCUUAACUGCGAGACCGACAAGUCGAGCAGGUGCGAAAGCAGGUCAUAGUGAUCCGGUGGUUCUGUAUGGAAGGGCCAUCGCUCAACGGAUAAAAGGUACUCUGGGGAUAACAGGCUGAUACCGCCCAAGAGUUCAUAUCGACGGCGGUGUUUGGCACCUCGAUGUCGGCUCAUCUCAUCCUGGGGCUGUAGCCGGUCCCAAGGGUAUGGCUGUUCGCCAUUUAAAGAGGUACGUGAGCUGGGUUUAAAACGUCGUGAGACAGUUUGGUCCCUAUCUGCCGUGGGCGUUGGAUAUUUGAAGGGGGCUGCUCCUAGUACGAGAGGACCGGAGUGGACGAACCUCUGGUGUACCGGUUGUCACGCCAGUGGCAUCGCCGGGUAGCUAUGUUCGGAAGAGAUAACCGCUGAAAGCAUCUAAGCGGGAAACUCGCCUUAAGAUGAGAUAUCCCUGGGGACUAGAUCCCCUUGAAGGGUCGUUCGAGACCAGGACGUUGAUAGGUCAGGUGUGUAAGCGCAGUAAUGCGUUCAGCUAACUGAUACUAAUUGCCCGUAAGGCUUGAUCCU
This 1158-nucleotide ribosomal RNA is filed under the name Burkholderia ambifaria. RNAcentral describes it as "partial 23S ribosomal RNA". It matches the Rfam family "Bacterial large subunit ribosomal RNA", at positions 1764 to 2925 of the family's 2925-position model. The record is from RNAcentral. RNAcentral also lists the same sequence under 1 other name. Lineage: Bacteria; Pseudomonadati; Pseudomonadota; Betaproteobacteria; Burkholderiales; Burkholderiaceae.